GGAAUUUUCCGCAAUGGGCGAAAGCCUGACGGAGCGACGCCGCGUGAUUGAUGAAGUCCUUAGGGACGUAAAGAUCUUUUAUGAGGGAAGAAGUCAUUGACGGUACCUCAUGAAUAAGGGGCUCCCAAUUCUGUGCCAGCAGGAGCGGUAAUACAGAAGCCCCGAGCAUUACCCGGAUUUACUGGGCGUAAAGGGUGUGUAGGCGGUCAUAUUAGUCUCUCGUUAAAUCAUCGGGCUCAACCCGAUAACCGCGAGAGAAACGGUAUGACUCGAGGGUGUGAGAGGUGUACGGAACUCAUGGUGUAGGGGUGAGAUCCGUUGAUAUCAUGGGGAACACCGAAUGCGUAGGCAGUACACUAGCGCACUUCUGACGCUGAGACACGAAAGCGUGGGUAGCGAAAGGGAUUAGAUACCCCUGUAGUC
RNAcentral lists this ribosomal RNA (423 nucleotides) under uncultured cyanobacterium. RNAcentral describes it as "bacterial SSU rRNA". It matches the Rfam family "Bacterial small subunit ribosomal RNA", at positions 358 to 795 of the family's 1533-position model. Lineage: Bacteria; Bacillati; Cyanobacteriota. RNAcentral also lists the same sequence under 1 other name. The record is from RNAcentral.